Molecule: ribosomal RNA, 307 nt
Filed under: uncultured bacterium
Lineage: Bacteria
Description: bacterial SSU rRNA
Rfam family: Bacterial small subunit ribosomal RNA
Source: RNAcentral
GACGAACGCUGGCGGCGUGCUUCAUACAUGCAAGUCGAACGAGAACCGAUAGCUUGCUAUCGGGGAAAGUGGCGGACGGGUGAGUAACGCGUGAGGAACCUGCCUCGGAGUGGGGAAUAACAGUUGGAAACAGCUGCUAAUACCGCAUAAUGCAACGGAAUCGCAUGACUCUGUUGCCAAAGAUUUAUCGCUCUGAGAUGGCCUCGCGUCUGAUUAGCUAGUUGGCGGGGUAACGGCCCACCAAGGCGACGAUCAGUAGCCGGACUGAGAGGUUGGCCGGCCACAUUGGGACUGAGACACGGCCCAG